UGCAAUAGAGCAGGUAUCAGGCCCAACACUGUUAGCCCACCACACCUCGCCAAGCCACAUCCUCACGGAUCAUACAGCAGUGACCAACAUUAGGCAAUAAGCACAUCAAGCUUGACCUAGCCAAACCACCCCAGGCCGGCAAAUCUCGUGCCAGCAGCCGCGGUUACACGGGAGGCCAAAAAUAAUUCACCAACGGCGUAAAGAGUGACCACAGAUUCCUACCUCCAUCGGAUUCUAAAAUUUUACCUUAGAGAUGAAAUCCCAAGACACCAAGAUCUCCAAAGCAUCCACAAACAGGCCAUCCAACUCACGAAAAUCGGGGCACA
This 326-nucleotide ribosomal RNA is filed under the name Varanus komodoensis (Komodo dragon). RNAcentral's name for it is "partial 12S ribosomal RNA". Lineage: Eukaryota; Metazoa; Chordata; Lepidosauria; Squamata; Varanidae. The record is from RNAcentral.